This 509-nucleotide ribosomal RNA is filed under the name uncultured bacterium. Its description in RNAcentral is "bacterial SSU rRNA". It matches the Rfam family "Bacterial small subunit ribosomal RNA", at positions 46 to 523 of the family's 1533-position model. The record is from RNAcentral.
GCCUAACACAUGCAAGUCGAGCGAAGCGAUUCGGAUGAAGUUUUCGGAUGGAUUUGGGAUUGACUGAGCGGCGGACGGGUGAGUAACGCGUGGGUAACCUGCCCCGGAGCGGGGGAUAACAUUUGGAAACAGAUGCUAAUACCGCAUAACAACAAAAGCCACAUGGCUUUUGUUUGAAAGAUGGCUUUGGCUAUCACUCUGGGAUGGACCUGCGGUGCAUUAGCUAGUUGGUAAGGUAACGGCUUACCAAGGCGAUGAUGCAUAGCCGAGUUGAGAGACUGAUCGGCCACAAUGGAACUGAGACACGGUCCAUACUCCUACGGGAGGCAGCAGUAGGGAAUCUUCCACAAUGGGCGCAAGCCUGAUGGAGCAACACCGCGUGAGUGAAGAAGGGUUUCGGCUCGUAAAGCUCUGUUGUUGGAGAAGAACGUGCGUGAGAGUAACUGUUCACGCAGUGACGGUAUCCAACCAGAAAGUCACGGCUAACUACGUGCCAGCAGCCGCGGUAA